Sarcophilus harrisii (Tasmanian devil) is the source of this 555-nucleotide long non-coding RNA. RefSeq lists it as uncharacterized. The transcript has 3 exons. Lineage: Eukaryota; Metazoa; Chordata; Mammalia; Dasyuromorphia; Dasyuridae. The record is from RefSeq and is a predicted model, not a curated record.
CUGGUAAAGUCUGACCUAAUGAAAACCCAGGAGGAGGAAGAGGAGUUGACAAGUAAUAAGACAACAUAACAGCAUCUCCUGUCCGGCUUCAUUUCCCCUCCUUAUCUAUCUCUUGCUGAGAAGGGGAAACACCAUUAUCAAAGUAAAAGAUAAAUAAUUAAAUUCAACUUAUUCAAAUAAGUUGGGACUAAGAUCUGAGAUCCACACUGUUGAUAAGGCCUUUUAACCUGGGAGAGUAAGAGGUGUGAAGUCUUAUACAGGCUUAUCAAAACAAAAACCAUUGCUUCACAUUCUAUUUAGGAUUUUGGGACUAACUUUAUCUAUUGUCCAAUUUUUAACAACUGAGAAAAAUCCCACCACAAAACUUCCUUUUAUUGUUGUCAUUUUUUCAUUGUUUUCACUCUUUGAGACUCAAAUACUUACUAGCUUUGUGACACUGUUACAAGUCCAGGUUCAGUUUCCUCAACCAUAAAAAAUGAGGACAAUAAUAAUACUUACCUUAGAAAGCUAUUGUGAGAACCAAAUAAGAUGUUUUUUUUAAAUAAAGUGUUUGGU